RNAcentral lists this unclassified non-coding RNA (380 nucleotides) under uncultured Armatimonadota bacterium. RNAcentral describes it as "uncultured Armatimonadetes bacterium contains 16S-23S intergenic spacer region". Lineage: Bacteria; Bacillati; Armatimonadota. The record is from RNAcentral.
UCCGAUUUACACCGGCGGUCUCCUGUGAGUUCCCAUCUUUCAUGCUGGUAACACAGGACGAGGGUUGCGCUCGUUGGCGGACUUAACCGUACACCUCACGGCACGAGCUGACGACAGCCAUGCAACAAGUGUCUUCACGUCUCCUUGUGGGAGAGGGCCCUCUUUCUAGAGCUUUCGAUCGAUGUCAAACCUGGGUAAGGUUCUUCGGUUAGUAUCGAAUUAAUCCACAUGCUCCACCGCUUGUGCGGGUCCCCGUCAAUUCAUUUGAGUUUCAACCUUGCGGCCGUACUCCCCAGGCGGAGAACUUAGCGCGUUAGCUACGACACCGAGGGGCUAAUCCCCCCCGACAUCUAGUUCUCAUCGUUUACGGCGUGGACUAC